GCCUGGCUAGCUCAGUCGGUAGAGCAUGAGACUCUUAAUCUCAAGGUCGGGGGUUCGAGCCCCCCGUUGGGCG
This 73-nucleotide transfer RNA is filed under the name Daphnia pulicaria. RNAcentral describes it as "tRNA-Lys". It matches the Rfam family "tRNA". From Rfam's summary of the family: Transfer RNA (tRNA) molecules are approximately 80 nucleotides in length. Their secondary structure includes four short double-helical elements and three loops (D, anti-codon, and T loops). The record is from RNAcentral. Lineage: Eukaryota; Metazoa; Arthropoda; Branchiopoda; Diplostraca; Daphniidae.